RNAcentral lists this long non-coding RNA (307 nucleotides) under Setaria italica (foxtail millet). RNAcentral describes it as "long non-coding RNA (SITA_LNC003350)". The record is from RNAcentral. Lineage: Eukaryota; Viridiplantae; Streptophyta; Magnoliopsida; Poales; Poaceae.
CCACCACUUCCCAGCCUCCCCACCCCAGCAUAGCAAAGGACUAGCAAUGUCGGCGCUCGGCGCCCUCUCCGGCGGCGCCGCCGGUGUCGCUGGCCUCCUCAGCCUCCGCCGCCGUGCAGCCGCGCCACCACCACCCUCUGCGCUCGCCUCCUCGUCGCACCUCCCGCCGCUUAAGUGCGCCGCCGUUCCCGAUGCCGGCCACCUCGUCUGGGGCCGCCAGCUCCGCCCGGCGCUCGCCCUCCUCCCGUUCCCGUCGCAGGCCGCCAGGAAGCAGACCCCACGCCCGCCCGCCGCCGCCUCCGCAGGG